This 227-nucleotide ribosomal RNA is filed under the name uncultured bacterium. RNAcentral describes it as "partial 16S ribosomal RNA". It matches the Rfam family "Bacterial small subunit ribosomal RNA", at positions 96 to 339 of the family's 1533-position model. The record is from RNAcentral.
CGGCAGACGGGUGCGUAACAUGUGGGAAUCUGCCUUUUGGUUCGGAACAACACGAGGAAACUUGUGCUAAUACCGGAUAAGUCUUUACGGAGAAAGCUUUAUGCACCAUUGGAUGAGCCCGCACUUGAUUAGUUAGUUGGUGAGGUAAAAGCUCACCAAGGCGAUAAUCAAUAGCUGAUUUGAGAGGAUGAUCAGCCACACUGGGACUGAGAUACGGCCCAGACUCC